AUACGAAGGGGGCUAGCGUUGUUCGGAAUCACUGGGCGUAAAGCGCGCGUAGGUGGAUCAAUUAGUUGAGGGUGGAAUCCCGGGGCUCAACCUCGGAACUGCCUUCAAUACUGUUGAUCUUGAGACCGAGAGAGGUGAGUGGAAUUCCUAGUGUAGAGGUGAAAUUCGUAGAUAUUAGGAAGAACACCAGUGGCGAAGGCGGCUCACUGGCUCGGUACUGACGCUGAGGUGCGAAAGCGUGGGGAGCAAACAGGAUUAGAUACCCUAGUAGUCCC
This 275-nucleotide ribosomal RNA is filed under the name uncultured bacterium. RNAcentral describes it as "partial 16S ribosomal RNA". It matches the Rfam family "Bacterial small subunit ribosomal RNA", at positions 523 to 797 of the family's 1533-position model. The record is from RNAcentral.